AGCACUUGCGUGUUUUGUUUAGCUUGUGGACAAAGAUUUAUAGACAGGCACAAAAUCAAAAAAAAUCAUGUUUUGUAACCCAGAAUUCAUCGUUUGCAGGAGUUUUGAUACAUAAAGAAGGAAUAUA
Molecule: small nucleolar RNA, 127 nt
Filed under: Castor canadensis (American beaver)
Lineage: Eukaryota; Metazoa; Chordata; Mammalia; Rodentia; Castoridae
Description: Small nucleolar RNA SNORA40 (ENSCCNG00000000208.1)
Rfam family: Small nucleolar RNA SNORA40
About the family: The snoRNA ACA 40 belongs to the H/ACA family of snoRNAs and guides the pseudouridylation of 28S rRNA subunit at position U4565.
Source: Rfam by way of RNAcentral